RNAcentral lists this ribosomal RNA (464 nucleotides) under uncultured bacterium. RNAcentral describes it as "partial 16S ribosomal RNA". It matches the Rfam family "Bacterial small subunit ribosomal RNA", at positions 339 to 795 of the family's 1533-position model. The record is from RNAcentral.
CUACGGGCGGCAGCAGUGGGGAAUAUUGCACAAUGGGCGCAAGCCUGAUGCAGCCAUGCCGCGUGUAUGAAGAAGGCCUUCGGGUUGUAAAGUACUUUCAGCGGGGAGGAAGGGAGUAAAGUUAAUACCUUUGCUCAUUGACGUUACCCGCAGAAGAAGCACCGGCUAACUCCGUGCCAGCAGCCGCGGUAAUACGGAGGGUGCAAGCGUUAAUCGGAAUUACUGGGCGUAAAGCGCACGCAGGCGGUUUGUUAAGUCAGAUGUGAAAUCCCCGGGCUCAACCUGGGAACUGCAUCUGAUACUGGCAAGCUUGAGUCUCGUAGAGGGGGGUAGAAUUCCAGGUGUAGCGGUGAAAUGCGUAGAGAUCUGGAGGAUUACCGGUGACGAAGGCGGCCCCCUGGACGAAGACUGACGCUCAGGUGCGAAAGCGUGGGGAGCAAACAGGAUUAGAUACCCCGGUAGUC